Molecule: long non-coding RNA, 249 nt
Organism: Orbicella faveolata
Lineage: Eukaryota; Metazoa; Cnidaria; Anthozoa; Scleractinia; Merulinidae
Source: RefSeq, a predicted model, not a curated record
CAGCGGCUGCUGCCUUUGCUGCACGUAUGAACUGAUCAUGAGCGCUGUUGAGCUGGAAGGUCUGGCAUAUUUGUCUUUCUUUGAUGAUGGCUCCUGGUUUCAGGGAACACUUCUGACAAAGGAUAAAAAGCAAUAUGGAGUCAUGGGAGAAACAUGUGGUCCACCAGAGGAAGGUUUUGCUGAAUGUUGUUUUGAUGAUGAGCCAUUAUUUUAUGUGAUCACCAUUAUUGAUCAUGAAGUAAAUAAAGA